GACGAACGCUGGCGGCGUGCUUAACACAUGCAAGUGGAGCGACGAACCAGGCUUCGGCCUGGGGCAGAGCCGCGAACGGGUGAGUAACACGUGGGUAACCUGCCUCGAUGACCGGGACAACCCGGGGAAACCCGGGCUAAUACCGGAUGUGCUGCUCGCACAUCAGUGAGAGCUGGAAAGGAAGCUUCGGCCUCCGCAUCGAGAUGGGCCCGCGGCCCAUUAGCUUGUUGGUGAGGUAACGGCUCACCAAGGCUGCGAUGGGUAGCUGGUCUGAGAGGACGAUCAGCCACACUGGGACUGAGACACGGCCCAGACUCCUACGGGAGGCAGCAGUGGGGAAUCUUGCGCAAUGCGCGAAAGCGUGACGCAGCAACGCCGCGUGGGGGAAGAAGGCCUUCGGGUUGUAAACCCCUUUCAGGAGGGACGAAGGUCGGGCGGUGAAUAGCCGACCCGACUGACGGUACCUCCAGAAGAAGCCCCGGCUAACUACGUGCCAGCAGCCGCCGUAAUAC
This 512-nucleotide ribosomal RNA is filed under the name uncultured bacterium. RNAcentral's name for it is "bacterial SSU rRNA". It matches the Rfam family "Bacterial small subunit ribosomal RNA", at positions 28 to 526 of the family's 1533-position model. The record is from RNAcentral.